Molecule: ribosomal RNA, 464 nt
Filed under: Vreelandella stevensii
Lineage: Bacteria; Pseudomonadati; Pseudomonadota; Gammaproteobacteria; Oceanospirillales; Halomonadaceae
Description: partial 16S ribosomal RNA
Rfam family: Bacterial small subunit ribosomal RNA
Source: RNAcentral
CCUACGGGGUGCAGCAGUGGGGAAUAUUGGACAAUGGGCGAAAGCCUGAUCCAGCCAUGCCGCGUGUGUGAAGAAGGCCUUCGGGUUGUAAAGCACUUUCAGUGGGGAAGAAAGCCUUGGGGCUAAUACCCUCGAGGAAGGACAUCACCCACAGAAGAAGCACCGGCUAACUCCGUGCCAGCAGCCGCGGUAAUACGGAGGGUGCGAGCGUUAAUCGGAAUUACUGGGCGUAAAGCGCGCGUAGGCGGUCUGAUAAGCCGGUUGUGAAAGCCCCGGGCUCAACCUGGGAACGGCAUCCGGAACUGUCAGGCUAGAGUGCAGGAGAGGAAGGUAGAAUUCCCGGUGUAGCGGUGAAAUGCGUAGAGAUCGGGAGGAAUACCAGUGGCGAAGGCGGCCUUCUGGACUGACACUGACGCUGAGGUGCGAAAGCGUGGGUAGCAAACAGGAUUAGAUACCCGUGUAGU